RNAcentral lists this ribosomal RNA (484 nucleotides) under uncultured bacterium. RNAcentral's name for it is "partial 16S ribosomal RNA". It matches the Rfam family "Bacterial small subunit ribosomal RNA", at positions 30 to 507 of the family's 1533-position model. The record is from RNAcentral.
AUUGAACGCUGGCGGCAGGCCUAACACAUGCAAGUCGAGCGGACGAAGGGAGCUUGCUCCUGGAUUCAGCGGCGGACGGGUGAGUAAUGCCUAGGAAUCUGCCUGGUAGUGGGGGAUAACGUCCGGAAACGGGCGCUAAUACCGCAUACGUCCUGAGGGAGAAAGUGGGGGAUCUUCGGACCUCACGCUAUCAGAUGAUCCUAGGUCGGAUUAGCUAGUUGGUGGGGUAAAGGCCUACCAAGGCGACGAUCCGUAACUGGUCUGAGAGGAUGAUCAGUCACACUGGAACUGAGACACGGUCCAGACUCCUACGGGAGGCAGCAGUGGGGAAUAUUGGACGAUGGGCGAAAGCCUGAUCCAGCCAUGCCGCGUGUGUGAAGAAGGUCUUCGGAUUGUAAAGCACUUUAAGUUGGGAGGAAGGGCAGUAAGUUAAUACCUUGCUGUUUUGACGUUACCAACAGAAUAAGCACCGGCUAACUUCGUG